AACUUGCGGUCUGUCUCUCUCAAAAAUAAACGUUUAAAAAAAUUUUUAAGAAAGAAGAAAGAGGUGACCAAUCCUUUCCAAAUAUAUCAGAUUUAAUCUGUUCUGUCUUCACUGCUACUAAGUUUGCCCAGUGUCUACCUCUGAAUUGGUGAUUUAGUUUUCUGUCCAGCAAAAUGAAAAUCUAAAGAUUAGACACAAAAAGGCCUUUAUCAUUAGAAAAAUAUUGAAAAUUUUUUUAGAAAUAUACCAUUACCUAUCCUGGUGGGUAGACAGCACAGCAUCUUUAACAAGAGAAGAUGGAAAUACCUGAGUAAAUUAGGCAACUUGUGCAAGCCUAUUUCAUAGAUUUUUUUUGUCUUAUUUUUUAAAUAAAAUUUGAGGUCUAAUCUGUUGGCCUCCUACCAUGCAAAGAGAGGAUUUUCUCUUUUGCAUUCCUCAAUCUCACACAUACACAAAACCACACGCGUUCCUUUUCUCAAUUAUAGCACAAUUUUUAGUUACAUCAAAAGUGAUAUAACUUCACGUGAUUACCAGACAGCUGCAGAAGUUGCUGUGGUGAGACACCUUCUUCAGGAUGGAAGGAUUUAGCCCCCAGCUGCUGGAAGUGCUAUUCGCAGACACCUUUCCACUGGCAGCCUGCUUUGGAAGUGGUUCAACUUCUGAGAGUUGCCUUACGACCCCUUCCCUGAGCAGCUGUCGUUCAAUGACUGUUCAACAUGGUGGCAAAAGGCCCUCCUUGCAGCUUGGGACAAUUCUCAAGGGCCAGCCCAGCUUUAGAGCUCCCUAUGGGGUUUUUGUCACGGCCAGAUUCUCCCUCUGUGCAAUCCUGCUUCCUCUCUUUUCUUCCUUCCCACAGGUAUGGAUCCCAAAAGUUCUCCCCCAUAAGGCUUCUGCCUGCCAAUCUCUGUUUCAGGGUCGCCUUCCGAGGAACCAAACCUGCCACAGUUGAUACCAGAAAUGGUCUGAGAAAGCAGAUGCCAAGAGGAGAUUCUGGAGAGGGGUCACCUGCCAUCUGGUUGGCAGAGCCCCAUUGUUGGUGGGAGGGGGGGCCCACACAGCACAAGGUAACAAUGCAGCUGUUCACCAUUCACUGGUGGUGGCAAAUGUACCAGCUUGUGUGCUGUAUCGGGCAUUUGAGCAACAUGGCAAAAACAGCAACUAAAAGGACAAUAAAGGUGGCCAUUACUAAACUCAGAUCAUGCUUUGGAGAAAGAUAAUGAGAGAGAGUGACUGACGGACUUUAAAAAGUGUGAGAGCGUGAAAGCAAAAAGGCCUCCUUGGUAGCAUAUAAAGAAUCUCUCUUCUGCAGCAGAGAAAACCAAGGACCAAGCUCAGGAUUUAAUUACAGGGUAGCAGAUCUCCAAAACAGUUAAGUUCUCAGAUUCGGCAGGUGUGCUAUGCCAAGGUCAGGGACCUGGUUGAGAAAGGACAGUAGGAUGGGGACAUCUGCUUUGAAAAAGCUACAGAACUGGUCCAUCCCUCCCCAUCACGGGCGAGUACUCCCUCUUCUUGAAGACAACACAAGAAGACCAUUCCCGUAAGAAACAGCAUGCACCCCAAUGUCAGAUCUGCCCCAAUGCUUUUAGCUGGCCACUAGGCCAAUAACCAGCUUGAAGUCAAAACAUAACUCAGCUUGAGGAGGAAAGCAGCUACACACCAAAGGAGUGGCGGGACUGAGCCAACAGGAACCGGCAGGAGCUAGGAGAAAAUCCGUGGGACAGCACUCAGGGGGUGUUGAAUCAAAGCAGGCAAUACAUUACAUUGGAUAAGAAGUGUUUAUUUGGAGUACUGUCCUGGAAUAUAGGAUUCAACACUCUGACAAGAACGCCACGAGAUGGUGUAGGCAUGAUGACAGGAUGGUCCCAACAAGCAAGGAGAAAGCAACGGCCCCAUUAAGUGAGGUUGAAAUGCCAGCAUUGCCCUGCAGAUGGUGGAAGAGGGGGUAAAAGGCCUCAGAAAAGUGGGCAUUCUAGGGUGGACAUACUAUAUGAAGCCAAAUGACUGUGCUCCAUGGGAAGAUCCAGGGGAUACAUGAUUGACCAAGGCAAUAAGGCAUGUGCUAGGGAGCUCCAAGAGUUCAGUGGUAGCUCUCCUCUGGACAUCAGGGAUUAAGCUCUGUCUUUCCACGCCUGGGCUCAGUGACAGCAAUGAGAAUGAUAGGACAACUCACCCCUUUCCUCCAUCACUCCCCCAACUUCCCAUCCCCUGCAAGAGGCCAGUUGGUAGGACUUGGCCAUCAGUCAGAUGGAUGUAAUUAUUGUAAUGAAUGGUAGGUUUGCAGUGGCCUGACCUACACAGAGUUAUGGAGAUGGUUAAUAAAUGUAGUGUUCCUAGAGGCAAAGACCUGAGUAGGUAAAAAACAAAAACAAAAAAGCUACUAGGUAACCUCACAAACAAAAGCUAUUAGUUAACUUUACAAACAAAAGAAAUCAAGGAUGGAGGGUGAAGGCAUUUAUCCCAGUCAAGCCAGGAUGCCCUGCCCAUCUUCCAGGACUGAGCCAGUUUUGGGACCCAGAACCCAUCAAUUGAAAGAGGCUAGGUGGCCAGGAAGACACAAAUAUUCACAGUAAUGAUUAACUGGUCCUUCCCCAGAGGGGUCCAUGGCCAUUUACUUGGGUAAGUGUCCACUGGGGAAAGGGGACGAUCCAAACAUCACGAAGACUGUUGGACACAGGGUCCAGGUUGACAUUGAUACCCAGAGCCCUGGAAUAUCAUCAUGGUACCCUGUUACAGUAGGGCCAGGGCCAGUGUCACAGACAUGUGUGUGACCUGUGCAGUCACACAGGAUUUUACAUUUAAAAAGUUCUAACUGUGGGGAAAACAAAUAACCCAACAGGUUCUAAUUGUGAUUGCUUUAAUUCUUGGUUUAAUGCCUGGGUGGUACCCUUUUAAAAUUAUUAAUAAUUUUUUGAACAAGGGGUCUUUUCUUUCAGUUUGUGCUGGGUUGGCCUGUGUGGGGAUAUAGGAGGGUCCUGAUACUAAAUAAAGUUCUGGCUCCAGUGUGGCUUACAGUGUAUCUUUUGAACCUGUAGACCCACCUGUAGUAUUUUCCUGGUCUCCCAAUAUACACUUGGGAUAGAUAUUCCCAGGAAUUGACACAAUCCCACACCGCCUCUUUGGUCUGUGGGGUAAGAGCUAUGAGCUAUCCUAGUGAAGAUGGCCAAAUGGAAGGAGCUCUGAAUGUGCCACUCUGCCCCCCCCCACACACACACACAACCACACACACACACACACAGCCAAGAUAGUAAAUCAAAAACGAUAUCGCAUCACAGGGGGUCUAGCAGAAAUUAGUGCCACUCUGAAAAACUUAAAAGAAUGCAGGGGUAGUAAGUGGACCUCACAAUAUUUCCAUUUAAUUCACCAGUCUGUCUCUUGCAAAAAAAUAGAAACAUAAUUUUAAGGGAAACAGUGGACAAUGUAAACAAGAAGUGCCCCUAAUUACAGCUACUGCACCAGAUGUAGUAUCUUUGCUAGACCCCAUUUGAAUGUCGCCAACUGUCCAAACAAUCUCUCUUUUUCUUUUAGGGCCUAGACUCCCCAUGGAACCAUAUACUGAAUUUAUAUGACCAUCUAAAACACGCCUGCAUCAAGUCUUUCUUGCAUCAAGAGGACAGGCCUUCCAUUUUGCAGGAUGAUCGUCACCCUGGUUUUUCAUCAGAAGAAUGCUCCAGUCUCCUACCUGGAAAAUACAUACCUGGACGCCAGUGUUCUUUGAACUGAGUUGAGAAAGGAGCUAGAAUUGCACUGGCUUUAUUAGGUUUACACACAAUACCCACAUUCAGUAUGGAACCUUCAUCUUCAGCUGUGCCUGAUGUCCCAAGCCUGGAGUCUCCCCAGACUCAGCCUCUUCAAAGAAGGAAUCUCUAGCAGAAAGGAUAUAGAGUGGCUAAUCUACCUCUUACACAGAUUGUCAGCCAAUCCUGUUUUCUGCCUGCUGCCGCUAGACCCCCAAGUCUUUUGGAGGUUCUCUGGCCAGAAUGAGCCUGCUUUUGGACCCUCCCUAGAGACACUUUUACAUUUUUCUCACUCUCUAAGUCAGUGGUUCUCAACAGUGGCAAUUUUGUCCCUGGGGGCAUUUGACAAUAAGUAGAAACAUUUUUGGUUUUCACAACUGGGGAGGGGCUAUUACUAGAAUCUAGUGGAUAGAGGCCAGGAGUGCUGCUAAAUAUCCUACAACGCACAGGACAGCCCCCCACAACAAAAUAUUAGUUGGCCCCAAAGGUCAACGGUACUGAGGCUGAAAAACCCUGUCCUAAAUCGUUUAGUACAAAUGCUGCCAGCUUCUAGUUUUUGACGCUACUUCAUUUUUUCGUUCAUUCUUUUUGUUUUUGUGGUUUUUAUGUUUUUAUGAUUUUUAUGUGGAGUUGUUUCCAGCAGGAGUGAUAAACAUAAUUGCUUAAUUGAAACAUUUAACCAGAAAUCACUUGGUGGAACUUGAAUUUAUAUUUGUUGAAAAUAUUUCAAUUUCUGUCUCAAGUGUUGACAUAGAUGAAUGUUUUUGAAGCUUUGAAUGUUUUUGAAGUGUUAGGUAGAAUGUGUCAACCAAAGAGUGAAACAGAAUGUGCAUGGAUUCAGCUAGGAAUGGACUUUGGGUCUCAUGGAACAUUCCAUACAGUUGUUCUGAAGACGAGCCCAGAAAGCCAGCAGUGAAGACAAUUUUCAGGAACUAAGUCGCAGGAUACAGGAUGGAGAUUCCAGUUUGUCCUCAGAGAGUGUUCCCACAACAGGGAUGAACCCACUAUUCUCUAAAAGUUCUGUGUCAACAGAAGCUUUGGGGCAUAUUAAGGAAGAAAGUGAAAACAACAGCAUUUCAAAUCAAGGACAUUGGUUGGCUAAGACGUGAUCAGUCUUCAAACUAUCAGGAGACAUCUCCCUUUUGAAAAAUGAACAAGUGUAGCUGUAACCUGGAAGUGAAAUCUAGAGCCGCCAUACUGCAACCACACCAAAAUUCCAUCUUUCCAGGGUUAUGCCAAAGUCAUCCCUCUCAGUGAGUCCCAUCUGAGACACAUCAUUAAAUUCUAAUCUACGGCAUCAUCGAAGAGCAAAGCCUGUCUUCCGGUUUCUGCAUGUCAGGAAGAGGAGACUUUCUGCCGAACGUCGUCCUGGGAGGGAACUCAUGAGCAGCAAAGCCAUGGCAGUAGGUUAGCAGCGUCACAUGACAACUUGCUGUAGUCUCUCCUACAUUCACGGCUUUGACUUCUAAGACCACACAAGACACCUCUCAAGACAAAAGACGAGAAGUGUUACGCAUCCCAAGACUUGUGGAGAAACUGUAGCUAGCAAGCUGAUUCCUUGCCCUACAGGCGAAUUAAAAUACUGUAAUGAGACCCCCCAUGGGAUUUCCACAGAGGUAAACCUACAGGACUUCUGCAAAGACUGUUAGUAAUUCAGUCACUGCUUUCUUGCACUGUCCCCCCACCCCCCAUCCAAUGAGUCUGCAAUCUAAUUUCUUUUGCUGUAACAAACAGAACAAGGCAAGAGUCAAAUGAUCUCAAGGGAAACAGAGGCAAAGCAGGUAGGGCCAAGCCCCCCUGGUAUGUCAUCCAUAUUCACACGUGCCUCUUGGAGCUCCCUGCACAAUCCCCUUACCUGUUUAUAGCCUAUUCGUAUUUCAGUAAUCCCAGGAACUAGAAGAAAGAGUGGGUGAGGGGGAGAAAGGAUGUCAUUAUUCAUCCAACACACAGUAUGUAGCAAACCCCUGUAGGGGAAGCAAAACUUUUCCUCCAUCCUCUUACAGACUCCAGUCUCUUACAGGCCUGAGUAUUAAGUUGAUACAGGGCAGAGUAAAAGGAGAAAAAGCAUACAACUUAAUAUUUUUACAUGGACAUAGGAGCCUUCACAAGAAAGCGAGGACCCCAAAAGCAAUUAGCCUAAGUGUGUAUGUACUAGGUGAACAAAAAGUAGUUGUGAAAAAGUAACUAAAAUGUAUGGAGGGGCUAGAGGAAGAUAAGGGUUAUUUUAACAAGGUCUGUUUUGAACAGAUUUCUCUCAGCCUCUCCUUCCCAUCUCUGGUGAUAAGAAUGUUUCUUUCCUCCUGGUAUAGGGAGUACAUUCAUGUUUUUAGGAAGAGAAGGAGAGGUUGGAAUAUCCUUUUCACAUAUGUUGUUUUUCAAGUGCCCUUACCUCAAAAUAAUCCUUACGCCAAGGUGGUAUAUUUUAGGGUAGCGCACCCUGGUACUCUUCACCUCCACCAGCAUAUAAGGUGCUGUGGACUGAACUGUGUCCCCUCCCCACCCCCCUCCUUGAAUCCAACUGUAUUUGGAGAUAGCGUCAUUUAAUUAAGGCUAAAUGACAUCAUGUGGGCGAACCCUAGUCCAUAUGAUUGGUGUCCUCAUAAAAAGGGAGAGAUACCAGGCAAGCAUACACAGAGCGACAACAAUGUGAGGACACGGCAAGAAGGCAGUCACCCACAAGCCCAGGAGAGAUGCCACAGAAGGACCCAACCUUGCCAGCCCCCUGAUCUUGGACUUCCAGCCUCCAGCACUGUGAGAGAAGACAUUUCUGUUGUUUAAGCAACUCAGUCUGUGGUAUUUUGUUAUGGCAGCCCCAGCAGAUUAAUAUACAAGGCAAAAGAAUAUCACAUAAAACAUUUCCCUGAAGAACGAUCCAGGCUUUCCCCUUGAUAAAUCCCUUUAGUUCAGCAAUCUUACAAAGCCCAACAAGAUAUAUCUAGAGAAGUUGAGUAACUGCUGAAUGAUUAAACUUAGAGCCUGACUAUUUACAAUCAAUGCUGUCUUCCAAAAGGUUACAUCUUAAAGGUUGGUGUCCGAUACAUGUGUGUUCUCCCUCCUGGUUCUCUGAUAAUACUCUCCUGAGUCAUUCUGCAGCUCCCUAAUUGGUUUCUGCUUUCCAAGUGCCAGUUUUCUGAUGAAAGCUGUUUACAGCCUCACCACUUUGGGCAGGGGAGGGGGAGGGAGGGAAAUGGACAGUUGACACAAGCUGUUUCUAAGAAACUCAUCUCUUGUUUUCCCUUGAUACAGCCUGUGAUGGAAGCAGAGUCCAAAGGGACAAACUUAGGAAACAAAAUAGAAAAUUCCAAGCUGGGUGUGAUUCCUUGCAGGGUGGUAUUCAUGCAUCAUUCAGCAGCUAUGGUUUGAGUUCCUACUCUGCACCGUGUUCUGUGCCAAGCACUGAGGGCUGUUCCAAGAAUGAAUUAACAUUCUCGUUAAGUGUGAUGUCUUAAUUAAUGAACCCUGAGACUAAUGCUGCUUUCAAGUGAAGUUGUGUACAUUUCUUAACAAUCUUACCUUCUGAAGGUACCCUAGAGAACACUGGAGAUAGGAAUGAAGAAAGGGGAAGGGGGCUCUAAUCUCCAGAGACCUAUGCAGCAGGUGCAGGGUGAAGAGGCAGAGGCGGUGGCAGAUGGGGGCUAAGGAAGAGGCAGCCUCUGUGAAUGGAAGGGGCCCUGACAUUCCCUCAGCUAUAACCUCAAGGCCGGCCCCAGCUCCCUACAAACACUGAUGCCUCUGCCAUGGGAGAAUGCCUUGCUGUUCACGGGCUCCACUAGCCCUCUAAGGGAAGAGAGGUAUCCAGAAGGAAGGCCUGAGCUCUCCAUUUCUGGGGCAGGAGAGGGAAACACUGGUGUAAAAAUUGCAAGCCCCACCUGAGCAACCACGGUGAAGGCCUUAGCAGUCGCCCUACACUAACCUCAGACUUUCCUUGUAGCAACCCGCCCCACCCCCACCUAUGGGGACAGAAAGCAGAUCCCCCAAACAAUACCCAGGGUCAACCAAACCAAAAACUGGUUCUUUGGGAAAUUUUCCAGAUCUACCCGCAUGGAAAAUAAUCAGCUCACAGAAAAUUAAAGGUUUUUACUGCUUCAGGAAACAGAAAUAGAUGGAAAAAUUGAGAGGAAAAAAUGCUAAUAGUAAGUGAUGAAGAGUGACCAUGGAAAUAAACUUAUCAGAGGUCUGACUCAGAGCCUUUGUCACUGUUGGGUUCUGCUAGUGUGCAUGCCGGUUUGAAAGCUUGAUACAAGUUCAAUGGAUUUGACCUGGAGUGGGAAGAAAGACAUGAAUCAAAUUCCCCAAAGAUGACAGCUUCCAGGGAUCCUUGUGGGGUGGAGGGCUGUCCUGUUACUUUCUAGUUUGAACCUUUGAACCCUGAAUCUCUUGGCAGUCCCUUUCAUCUGUGGUCCCAGUGAACCAAGCUUCCCGAUAUUCAUGCCCUCUUAAAUCCUCUCCCCUUGAAGCUGGGCUGGUCCUGUGACUGCCUGGACUGAUAAAAUAUGAUGGAAAUGACAUUCUGGGACUUCUGAGCCCAGGCACGAAGAAAGUCUGGAAGCUUCUGCUUUUGCAUUUCAGGGAAGCUGGCCACACUGUAAGGAGUCUGACUACUUUGAGACCUUCGUGAUGAGAGGAAGCCCAGGCUAACCACGUGAAGAAGCCACAUCAAAAGAGGAUGCCUGGCCAGCCCCACCUGAUGUGUCAGGCACAUAAGCAGAGAGGCCAUCUUGGAUGGUCCAGCCAGUAGAUGUGGAGCAGUGAUGGGCUGCUUCUGCCAAGCCCUGCCCAAAUUGCAGAACUGUGAGUAAAUAAAUAAUUGUUGUUGUUUAAACCACUAA
This is a long non-coding RNA of Felis catus (domestic cat), 8563 nucleotides long. RefSeq lists it as uncharacterized. The transcript is spliced from 4 exons. The record is from RefSeq and is a predicted model, not a curated record. NCBI's taxonomy places the organism in Eukaryota, Metazoa, Chordata, Mammalia, Carnivora, Felidae.